GGUCGGUUACCCGAGUGGUUUAAGGGAGUUCUCUGCAAAAGAAUUAUUCGCAAGUUCGAAUCUUGUACCGACCU
RNAcentral lists this transfer RNA (74 nucleotides) under Mucilaginibacter agri. It matches the Rfam family "tRNA". Rfam says of the family: Transfer RNA (tRNA) molecules are approximately 80 nucleotides in length. Their secondary structure includes four short double-helical elements and three loops (D, anti-codon, and T loops). Lineage: Bacteria; Pseudomonadati; Bacteroidota; Sphingobacteriia; Sphingobacteriales; Sphingobacteriaceae. The record is from Rfam by way of RNAcentral.